GACGAACGCUGGCGGCGUGCCUAAUACAUGCAAGUAGAACGCACAGUUUAUACCGUAGCUUGCUACACCAUAGACUGUGAGUUGCGAACGGGUGAGUAACGCGUAGGUAACCUGCCUGGUAGCGGGGGAUAACUAUUGGAAACGAUAGCUAAUACCGCAUAAUAUUAAUUAUUGCAUGAUAAUUAAUUGAAAGGUGCAAUUGCACCACUACCAGAUGGACCUGCGUUGUAUUAGCUAGUAGGUGAGGUAACGGCUCACCUAGGCGACGAUACAUAGCCGACCUGAGAGGGUGAUCGGCCACACUGGGACGGAGACACGGCCCAGACUCCUACGGGAGGCAGCAGUAGGGAAUAUUCGGCAAUAGACGAAAGUCUGACCGAGCAACGCCGCGUGAGUGAAGAAGGUUUUCGGAUCGUAAAGCUCUGUUGUAAGAGAAGAACGGGUGUGAGAGUGGAAAGUUCACACUGUGACGGUAUCUUACCAGAAAGAGACGGCUAACUACGUG
Molecule: ribosomal RNA, 505 nt
Filed under: uncultured bacterium
Lineage: Bacteria
Description: partial 16S ribosomal RNA
Rfam family: Bacterial small subunit ribosomal RNA
Source: RNAcentral